UUAAGCGACUAAGCGUACACGGUGGAUGCCCUGGCAGUCAGAGGCGAUGAAGGACGUGCUAAUCUGCGAUAAGCGUCGGUGAGGUGAUAUGAACCGUUAUAACCGGCGAUUUCCGAAUGGGGAAACCCAGUGUGAUUCGUCACACUAUCAUUAACUGAAUCCAUAGGUUAAUGAGGCGAACCGGGGGAACUGAAACAUCUAAGUACCCCGAGGAAAAGAAAUCAACCGAGAUUCCCCCAGUAGCGGCGAGCGAACGGGGAGGAGCCCAGAGCCUGAAUCAGUGUGUGUGUUAGUGGAAGCGUCUGGAAAGGCGCGCGAUACAGGGUGACAGCCCCGUACACAAAAAUGCACAUAUUGUGAGCUCGAUGAGUAGGGCGGGACACGUGGUAUCCUGUCUGAAUAUGGGGGGACCAUCCUCCAAGGCUAAAUACUCCUGACUGACCGAUAGUGAACCAGUACCGUGAGGGAAAGGCGAAAAGAACCCCGGCGAGGGGAGUGAAAAAGAACCUGAAACCGUGUACGUACAAGCAGUGGGAGCCUCUUAAUGGGGUGACUGCGUACCUUUUGUAUAAUGGGUCAGCGACUUAUAUUCUGUAGCAAGGUUAACCGAAUAGGGGAGCCGAAGGGAAACCGAGUCUUAACUGGGCGUUAAGUUGCAGGGUAUAGACCCGAAACCCGGUGAUCUAGCCAUGGGCAGGUUGAAGGUUGGGUAACACUAACUGGAGGACCGAACCGACUAAUGUUGAAAAAUUAGCGGAUGACUUGUGGCUGGGGGUGAAAGGCCAAUCAAACCGGGAGAUAGCUGGUUCUCCCCGAAAGCUAUUUAGGUAGCGCCUCGUGAAUUCAUCUCCGGGGGUAGAGCACUGUUUCGGCAAGGGGGUCAUCCCGACUUACCAACCCGAUGCAAACUGCGAAUACCGGAGAAUGUUAUCACGGGAGACACACGGCGGGUGCUAACGUCCGUCGUGAAGAGGGAAACAACCCAGACCGCCAGCUAAGGUCCCAAAGUCAUGGUUAAGUGGGAAACGAUGUGGGAAGGCCCAGACAGCCAGGAUGUUGGCUUAGAAGCAGCCAUCAUUUAAAGAAAGCGUAAUAGCUCACUGGUCGAGUCGGCCUGCGCGGAAGAUGUAACGGGGCUAAACCAUGCACCGAAGCUGCGGCAGCGACACUAUGUGUUGUUGGGUAGGGGAGCGUUCUGUAAGCCUGUGAAGGUGGCCUGUGAGGGUUGCUGGAGGUAUCAGAAGUGCGAAUGCUGACAUAAGUAACGAUAAAGCGGGUGAAAAGCCCGCUCGCCGGAAGACCAAGGGUUCCUGUCCAACGUUAAUCGGGGCAGGGUGAGUCGACCCCUAAGGCGAGGCCGAAAGGCGUAGUCGAUGGGAAACAGGUUAAUAUUCCUGUACUUGGUGUUACUGCGAAGGGGGGACGGAGAAGGCUAUGUUGGCCGGGCGACGGUUGUCCCGGUUUAAGCGUGUAGGCUGGUUUUCCAGGCAAAUCCGGAAAACCAAGGCUGAGGCGUGAUGACGAGGCACUACGGUGCUGAAGCGACAAAUGCCCUGCUUCCAGGAAAAGCCUCUAAGCAUCAGGUAACAUCAAAUCGUACCCCAAACCGACACAGGUGGUCAGGUAGAGAAUACCAAGGCGCUUGAGAGAACUCGGGUGAAGGAACUAGGCAAAAUGGUGCCGUAACUUCGGGAGAAGGCACGCUGAUAUGUAGGUGAAGCGACUUGCUCGUGGAGCUGAAAUCAGUCGAAGAUACCAGCUGGCUGCAACUGUUUAUUAAAAACACAGCACUGUGCAAACACGAAAGUGGACGUAUACGGUGUGACGCCUGCCCGGUGCCGGAAGGUUAAUUGAUGGGGUUAGCGGUAACGCGAAGCUCUUGAUCGAAGCCCCGGUAAACGGCGGCCGUAACUAUAACGGUCCUAAGGUAGCGAAAUUCCUUGUCGGGUAAGUUCCGACCUGCACGAAUGGCGUAAUGAUGGCCAGGCUGUCUCCACCCGAGACUCAGUGAAAUUGAACUCGCUGUGAAGAUGCAGUGUACCCGCGGCAAGACGGAAAGACCCCGUGAACCUUUACUAUAGCUUGACACUGAACAUUGAGCCUUGAUGUGUAGGAUAGGUGGGAGGCUUUGAAGUGUGGACGCCAGUCUGCAUGGAGCCGACCUUGAAAUACCACCCUUUAAUGUUUGAUGUUCUAACGUGGGCCCCUAAUCGGGGUUGCGGACAGUGUCUGGUGGGUAGUUUGACUGGGGCGGUCUCCUCCUAAAGAGUAACGGAGGAGCACGAAGGUUGGCUAAUCCUGGUCGGACAUCAGGAGGUUAGUGCAAUGGCAUAAGCCAGCUUGACUGCGAGCGUGACGGCGCGAGCAGGUGCGAAAGCAGGUCAUAGUGAUCCGGUGGUUCUGAAUGGAAGGGCCAUCGCUCAACGGAUAAAAGGUACUCCGGGGAUAACAGGCUGAUACCGCCCAAGAGUUCAUAUCGACGGCGGUGUUUGGCACCUCGAUGUCGGCUCAUCACAUCCUGGGGCUGAAGUAGGUCCCAAGGGUAUGGCUGUUCGCCAUUUAAAGUGGUACGCGAGCUGGGUUUAGAACGUCGUGAGACAGUUCGGUCCCUAUCUGCCGUGGGCGCUGGAGAACUGAGGGGGGCUGCUCCUAGUACGAGAGGACCGGAGUGGACGCAUCACUGGUGUUCGGGUUGUCAUGCCAAUGGCACUGCCCGGUAGCUAAAUGCGGAAGAGAUAAGUGCUGAAAGCAUCUAAGCACGAAACUUGCCCCGAGAUGAGUUCUCCCUGACUCCUUGAGAGUCCUGAAGGAACGUUGAAGACGACGACGUUGAUAGGCCGGGUGUGUAAGCGCAGCGAUGCGUUGAGCUAACCGGUACUAAUGAACCGUGAGGCUUAACCU
Molecule: ribosomal RNA, 2901 nt
Filed under: Escherichia coli
Lineage: Bacteria; Pseudomonadati; Pseudomonadota; Gammaproteobacteria; Enterobacterales; Enterobacteriaceae
Description: 23S ribosomal RNA
Rfam family: Bacterial large subunit ribosomal RNA
Source: RNAcentral